UGGGAAUUUCAAGGGAUUGGGAAAAGUGGGAAUGUCACGGGAUUGGGAAAAGUGGGAAUGUCACGGGAUUGGGAACAGGAAAAGUGGGAAUGUCACGGGAUUGGGAAAAGUGGGAAUGUCACAGGAUUGGGAAAAGCGGGAAUGUCACGGGACUGGGGCAGGAAAAGUGGGAAUGUCAUGGGAUUGGAGACAGGAAAAGUGGGAAUGUCAUGGGAUUGGGAAAAGUGGGGAUGUCAUGGGAACGGGAAAAGUGGGAAUGUCACGGGAACGGGAAAAGUGGGAAUGUCACGGGAACGGGAAAAGUGGGAAUGUCACGGGACUGGGGCAGGAAAAGUGGGAAUGUCAUGGGAACGGGAACAGCGGGGAUUGGGAAAAGUGGGAAUGUCACGGGAUGGGGACAGGAAAAGUGGGAAUGUCACAGGAUUGGGGAAUGGAAAAGUGGGAAUGUCACAGGAUUGGGGAAAGCAGGAAUGUCAUGGGAUUGGAAAAAGUGGGAAAGGCCAGGGAUUGAGAACAGGGCUGGAUCCGUCCAGCAGGACUGAGAUCCCUCAGGAAGGGCUGGGAUCCCUCAGGAAGGGUUGGGAUCCAUCAGGAAGGGCUGGGAUCCCUCAGGAAGGGCUGGGAUCCCUCAAGAAGGGCUGAGACCCCUCAGGAAGGGCUAGGAUCCAUCAGGAAGGGCUGGGAUCCCUCCAGCAGGGCUGGGAUCCAUCAGGAAGGGUUGGGAUCCCUCAGGAAGGGCUGGGAUCCCUCAGGAAGGACUGGGAUCCAUCAGGAAGGGCUGAGAUCCCUCAGGAAGGGCUGGGAUCCCUCAGGAAGGGUUGGGAUCCAUCAGGAAGGACUGGGAUCCAUCAGGAAGGGCUGGGAUCCCUCAGGAAGGGCUGGAAUCCCUCAGGAAGGGCUGGGAUCCAUCAGGAAGGCUCAGGAUCCCUGGGGAUGGGGCAGGGCCAGCCCCAGGUGCCCCCGUACCUGUAGAUGUCACACUCGGCCAGGCAGAUCUCCUCAUCCACCGCGUCCCACAGCAGCGGCUUCAGCGCCUUGAAAUCCUCGCGCACGGCCGAGAACAGGCUGCAGUUCAC
Molecule: long non-coding RNA, 1076 nt
Filed under: Zonotrichia albicollis (white-throated sparrow)
Lineage: Eukaryota; Metazoa; Chordata; Aves; Passeriformes; Passerellidae
Description: lncRNA (ENSZALG00000009382.1)
Source: RNAcentral